AAGUCGUAACAAGGUUUCCGUAGGUGAACCUGCGGAAGGAUCAUUAAAGAGUUAGGGUCUUCCAGGCCCGACCUCCCAACCCUAUGUUUAUUGAACCUCUGUUGCUUCGGCGGACCCGUCUCACGGCCGCCGGAGGACCGCUGAAAGGCGUCCUCUGGCCAGCGUCCGUCGAUAGCCAACCCCAAAACUCUGAAUAAAUCAUGUCAUAUGUCUAAGUUUAUGAUUAAAUAAAGCAAAA
RNAcentral lists this unclassified non-coding RNA (238 nucleotides) under plant metagenome. Its description in RNAcentral is "partial contains small subunit ribosomal RNA and internal transcribed spacer 1". The stretch from base 1 to 46 matches the Rfam family "Eukaryotic small subunit ribosomal RNA", at positions 1786 to 1831 of the family's 1831-position model. The record is from RNAcentral.